This 945-nucleotide ribosomal RNA is filed under the name methanogenic bacterium enrichment culture clone Me_c24. RNAcentral describes it as "bacterial SSU rRNA". It matches the Rfam family "Bacterial small subunit ribosomal RNA", at positions 9 to 972 of the family's 1533-position model. The record is from RNAcentral.
GAGUUUGAUCCUGGCUCAGGACGAACGCUGGCGGCGUGCCUAACACAUGCAAGUCGAGCGGGGUGAGUUCUUCGGAACGAUCCUAGCGGCGGACGGGUGAGUAACACGUGGGUAACCUGCCUCAAAGUGGGGGAUAGCCUUUCGAAAGGAAGAUUAAUACCGCAUAACCCAUAGCUUCCGCAUGGAAGCAAUGGUAAAGAUUUAUCGCUUUGAGAUGGACCCGCGGCGCAUUAGCUAGUUGGUGAGGUAACGGCUCACCAAGGCCACGAUGCGUAGCCGACCUGAGAGGGUGAUCGGCCACAUUGGAACUGAGACACGGUCCAGACUCCUACGGGAGGCAGCAGUGGGGAAUAUUGCACAAUGGGCGCAAGCCUGAUGCAGCAACGCCGCGUGAGUGAUGAAGGUCUUCGGAUUGUAAAGCUCUGUCUUUGGGGACGAUAAUGACGGUACCCAAGGAGGAAGCCACGGCUAACUACGUGCCAGCAGCCGCGGUAAUACGUAGGUGGCAAGCGUUGUCCGGAUUUACUGGGCGUAAAGGGUGCGUAGGUGGAUAUUUAAGUCAGAUGUGAAAUCCCUGGGCUCAACCCAGGACCUGCAUUUGAAACUGGAUGUCUAGAGUGCGGGAGAGGUAAGUGGAAUUCCUAGUGUAGCGGUGAAAUGCGUAGAGAUUAGGAAGAACACCAGUGGCGAAGGCGACUUACUGGACCGUAACUGACACUGAGGCACGAAAGCGUGGGUAGCAAACAGGAUUAGAUACCCUGGUAGUCCACGCCGUAAACGAUGAGUACUAGGUGUAGGGGGUAUCGACUCCCCCUGUGCCGCAGUUAACACAAUAAGUACUCCGCCUGGGAAGUACGAUCGCAAGAUUAAAACUCAAAGGAAUUGACGGGGGCCCGCACAAGCAGCGGAGCAUGUGGUUUAAUUCGAAGCAACGCGAAGAACCUU